UCACCUCCAAGAAGCAAUUGUGUUUUCAGAAUGAUUUUAUUCAAGCAAGCAACUUAUUUCAUUUCCUUGUUUGCUACAGUUUCCUGUGGAUGUCUGACUCAACUUUAUGAAAACACCUUUUUCAGAGGUGGGGAUGUAGCUUCCAUGUACACCCCAAAUGCCCAAUACUGCCAGAUGAGGUGCACAUUCCACCCAAGGUGUUUGCUAUUCAGUUUUCUUCCAGCAAGUUCAAUCAAUGACAUGGAGAAAAGGUUUGGUUGCUUCUUGAAAGAUAGUGUUACAGGAACCCUGCCAAAAGUACAUCGAACAGGUGCAGUUUCUGGACAUUCCUUGAAGCAAUGUGGUCAUCAAAUAAGUGCUUGCCAUCGAGACAUUUAUAAAGGAGUUGAUAUGAGAGGAGUCAAUUUUAAUGUAUCUAAGGUUAGCAGUGUUGAAGAAUGCCAAAAAAGGUGCACCAAUAACAUUCGCUGCCAGUUUUUUUCAUAUGCCACGCAAACAUUUCACAAUGCAGAGUACCGGAACAAUUGCCUAUUAAAGUACAGUCCCGGAGGAACACCUACCGCUAUAAAGGUGCUGAGUAAUGUGGAAUCUGGAUUCUCACUGAAGCCCUGUGCCCUUUCAGAAAUUGGUUGCCACAUGAACAUCUUCCAGCAUCUUGCGUUCUCAGAUGUGGAUGUUGCCAGGGUUCUCACUCCAGAUGCUUUUGUGUGUCGAACCAUCUGCACCUAUCACCCCAACUGCCUCUUCUUUACAUUCUAUACAAAUGUAUGGAAAAUCGAGUCACAAAGGCGAGAAAUGUUUGUCUUCUUAAAACAUCUGAAAGUGGCACACCAAGUUCCUCUACUCCUCAAGAAAACACCAUAUCUGGAUAUAGCCUUUUAACCUGCAAAAGAACUUUACCUGAACCCUGCCAUUCUAAAAUUUACCCGGGAGUUGACUUUGGAGGAGAAGAAUUGAAUGUGACUUUCGUUAAAGGAGUGGAUGUUUGCCAAGAGACUUGCACAAAGAUGAUUCGCUGUCAGUUUUUCACUUAUUCUUUACUCCCAGAAGACUGUAAGGAAGAGAAGUGUAAGUGUUUCUUAAGAUUAUCUAUGGAUGGUUCUCCAACUAGGAUUGUGUAUGGGACACAAGGGAGCUCUGGUUACUCUUUGAGAUUGUGUAACACUGGGGAUAACUCUGUCUGCACAACAAAAACAAGCACACGCAUUGUUGGAGGAACAAACUCUUCUUGGGGAGAGUGGCCCUGGCAGGUGAGCCUGCAGGUGAAGCUGACAGCUCAGAGGCACCUGUGUGGAGGGUCACUCAUAGGACACCAGUGGGUCCUCACUGCUGCCCACUGCUUUGAUGGGCUUCCCCUGCAGGAUGUUUGGCGCAUCUAUAGUGGCAUUUUAAAUCUGUCAGACAUUACAAAAGAUACACCUUUCUCACAAAUAAAAGAGAUUAUUAUUCACCAAAACUAUAAAGUCUCAGAAGGGAAUCAUGAUAUCGCCUUGAUAAAACUCCAGGCUCCUUUGAAUUACACUGAAUUCCAAAAACCAAUAUGCCUACCUUCCAAAGGUGACACAAACACAAUUUAUACCAACUGUUGGAUAACCGGAUGGGGCUUCUCGAAGGAGAAAGGUGAAAUCCAAAAUAUUCUACAAAAGGUAAAUAUUCCUUUGGUAACAAAUGAAGAAUGCCAGAAAAGAUAUCAAGAUUAUAAAAUAACCCAACGGAUGGUCUGUGCUGGCUAUAAAGAAGGGGGAAAAGAUGCUUGUAAGGGAGAUUCAGGUGGUCCCUUAGUUUGCAAACACAACGGAAUGUGGCGUUUGGUGGGCAUCACCAGCUGGGGUGAAGGCUGUGCCCGCAGGGAGCAACCUGGUGUCUACACCAAAGUCGCUGAGUACAUGGACUGGAUUUUAGAGAAAACGCAGAGCAGUGAUGGAAAAGCUCGGAUGCAGUCACCAGCAUGAGAAGCAGUCCAGAGUCUAGGCGAUUUUUACAGCCUGAGUUCAAGUCAAAUUCUGAGCCUGGGGGUCCUCACCUGCAGAG
Molecule: small RNA, 2031 nt
Filed under: Pan troglodytes (chimpanzee)
Lineage: Eukaryota; Metazoa; Chordata; Mammalia; Primates; Hominidae
Description: retained intron
Source: RNAcentral